UACGUAGGUGGCAAGCGUUUGUCCGGAUUUACUGGGCGUAAAGGAUGCGUAGGCGGACAUUUAAGUCAGAUGUGAAAUACCCGAGCUUAACUUGGGUGCUGCAUUUGAAACUGGGUGUCUAGAGUGCAGGAGAGGUAAGUGGAAUUCCUAGUGUAGCGGUGAAAUGCGUAGAGAUUAGGAAGAACACCAGUGGCGAAGGCGACUUACUGGACUGUAACUGACGCUGAGGCAUGAAAGCGUGGGAGCAAACAGG
RNAcentral lists this ribosomal RNA (253 nucleotides) under uncultured bacterium. RNAcentral describes it as "partial 16S ribosomal RNA". It matches the Rfam family "Bacterial small subunit ribosomal RNA", at positions 524 to 776 of the family's 1533-position model. The record is from RNAcentral.